AGAAGGAUGGAUGAGGAGGAGGUCCACCAGGAGAGUACAAAGAAGGUGAAGAUGAAGAUGAUGGAGGUUCAGAUUUGGGGGAGGGUGAAGAGGAGGAAGAAGUUGGCCUUUCAUACCUGAUGACGGACGAGAUCCAGAAUUAGUGGCAUUCUGUACCAGAUCACCAAGUCAGAUUUUGAGGAGAACGUGGCUGAAAGAAACCCACCUGCCCUACCAGGAUGCUCACAAGUGCCUGGAGAGCUUUGGCCUUGACAGCCAUGCCCUCACCAUCCAGAUCUGCAGAUUGUCAGCGGUUAUCAACGUGAGCCAGGGUGCGCGACUGAUCACGGAGACCAGCUGCCAGCUGUGGGUGGUGGAGGAGCAGUCCAACAACCAGAUUAACGGCAACUUCAAUUACAAGUGGGAGGUGCUGGAGGCCUCGGAGAGAGCCACUGGGACAGCCCACUGGUUGCACACAGAAGAGGCCACUAGAUGUCGAUGGUGUCAUACAAAUUCCUUCUCUGCCCCCAGUGCAGCUGCC
Alligator sinensis (Chinese alligator) is the source of this 520-nucleotide long non-coding RNA. RefSeq lists it as uncharacterized. NCBI's taxonomy places the organism in Eukaryota, Metazoa, Chordata, Crocodylia, Alligatoridae. The transcript has 4 exons. The record is from RefSeq and is a predicted model, not a curated record.